AUUCAACUGACGAGUCCUAAAUAGGACGAAACGCUCGUCCUAGAU
RNAcentral lists this non-coding RNA (45 nucleotides) under Schistosoma curassoni. Lineage: Eukaryota; Metazoa; Platyhelminthes; Trematoda; Strigeidida; Schistosomatidae. The record is from RNAcentral.